RNAcentral lists this ribosomal RNA (307 nucleotides) under uncultured bacterium. Its description in RNAcentral is "bacterial SSU rRNA". It matches the Rfam family "Bacterial small subunit ribosomal RNA", at positions 28 to 334 of the family's 1533-position model. The record is from RNAcentral.
GAUGAACGCUGGCGGCGUGCUUAACACAUGCAAGUCGAGCGAGGGAGUCUCUUCGGAGAUGAACUAGCGGCGGACGGGUGAGUAACACGUGGGCAACCUGCCUUACAGAGGGGGAUAGCCUUCCGAAAGGAAGAUUAAUACCGCAUAUUAUGAGUUUUCUGCAUGGAGAAUUCAUGAAAGGAGUAAUCCGCUGUAAGAUGGGCCCGCGGCGCAUUAGCUAGUUGGUGAGGUAAGGGCUCACCAAGGCGACGAUGCGUAGCCGACCUGAGAGGGUGAUCGGCCACAUUGGGACUGAGACACGGCCCAG